Molecule: ribosomal RNA, 463 nt
Filed under: uncultured bacterium
Lineage: Bacteria
Description: partial 16S ribosomal RNA
Rfam family: Bacterial small subunit ribosomal RNA
Source: RNAcentral
GACGAACGCUGGCGGCGUGCUUAACACAUGCAAGUCGAACGGAAAGGCCUUUUCGGAGGUACUCGAGUGGCGAACGGGUGCGCAACACGUGGGUGAUCUGCCCUGCACUCUGGGAUAAGCCUGGGAAACUGGGUCUAAUACCGGAUAGGACCGCACUUUAGUGUGUGUGGUGGAAAGUUUUUUCGGUGUAGGAUGAGCCCGCGGCCUAUCAGCUUGUUGGUGGGGUAAUGGCCUACCAAGGCGGCGACGGGUAGCCGGACUGAGAGGUUGGUCGGCCACAUUGGGACUGAGAUACGGCCCAGACUCCUACGGGAGGCAGCAGUGGGGAAUAUUGCACAAUGGGCGCAAGCCUGAUGCAGCGACGCCGCGUGGGGGAUGACGGCCUUCGGGUUGUAAACUCCUUUCGCCAGGGACGAAGCGUUUUGUGACGGUACCUGGAGAAGAAGCACCGGCUAACUACGUG